AUAGAUUUUAUUUAUUAAUUUUAUUUAUUUAUUUAAUUUAUUUAAUAAAAAUAAUUUUAAAAUUUUAAGUUUAAGUAUUUUAUAAAGAAAAAAUAAUUUUAAUUAUAGUUUAUUUGUAUUGUGAAAGAAAAUUGAAAUAAUUUGAAAAAUUUUUAUUUUAAAAGAAAAUUUAAUUUAUUGUACCUUGUGUAUCAGGGUUUAUUAAAUAAAAAAUUAUUAUAUUAAUUUUUCUCGAAUUUUAAAGAUUUAAUUAUAUAUAAAAGUUACUGUGGAAUAAUUAUUUUUAAUAUAUAAUUAGAAAUGAAAUGUUAAUCGUUUUAAAAUAUAUCUAGUUUUUUAAGAAAUAAAUUUAAUUUAGAUUUAUAAAUUUAAAUUAUUUAAUUAUUUUAAAUAAUUUAUUUUAUAAAAUUAAUAUUUUAAGGGAUUAGCUUUAAAAUAAAUUUUUAAAUUUUAAAUUAAUUAUUUAAUAAAUAUAAGCUUAAAAAUAGCUAUUAUUAAUAAAUUUGUUAUAAUUUAUUUUAAAAAUUUAAUUAUUUAAUAUAAAAUUAAAUUAUUUAUUAAAAUAUAAAUUUUAAUAAUAAAAAUUUAUAAAUUAUGAUAAAAUUAGUAUAUAAAAUUUUUAUAAAUAAUUAUUUAUGAAAGGUUUAAAUAAGGAAUUCGGCAAAAUAUAUAUUCACCUGUUUAUCAAAAACAUGUCUUUUUGAAUUAAAUUUAAAGUCUAACCUGCCCACUGAUAUAAAUUAAAGGGCCGCAGUAUCUUGACUGUGCGAAGGUAGCAUAAUCACUAGUCUUUUAAUUGGAGGCUUGUAUGAAUGGUUGAAUGAGAUAUAUACUGUCUUUUUUAAAAUUAUAUAGAAUUUUAUUUUUUAGUUAAAAAGCUAAAAUAAAAUUAAAGGACGAGAAGACCCUAUAGAUCUUUAUUUUUGUUAUUUAUAAAUUAAAAAGAAUUUUAAAAUUUAUAAUUUAAUAAAAAAUUUUAUUGGGGUGAUAUUAAAAUUUAAAAAACUUUUAAGAUUUAUUAACAUUAAUAUAUGAAUAAAUGAUCCAGUUUUAUUGAUUAAAAAUUUAAGUUACCUUAGGGAUAACAGCGUAAUUUUUUUUUAGAGUUCAUAUCGACAAAAAAGAUUGCGACCUCGAUGUUGGAUUAAGAGUUAUUUUUAGGUGUAGAAGUUUAAAGUUUAGGUCUGUUCGACCUUUGAAUUCUUACAUGAUCUGAGUUCAAACCGGCGUAAGCCAGGUUGGUUUCUAUCCUUAAUUAAUUAUUAUAUUAUAGUACGAAAGGACCUAAUAUAAAAAAUAUAGAUUUUAAUAAUAUGAUUAAUAUUAAUAUUAGAUA
This 1336-nucleotide ribosomal RNA is filed under the name Culex coronator. RNAcentral's name for it is "16S ribosomal RNA". The stretch from base 632 to 1336 matches the Rfam family "Archaeal large subunit ribosomal RNA", at positions 1423 to 2815 of the family's 2987-position model. Lineage: Eukaryota; Metazoa; Arthropoda; Insecta; Diptera; Culicidae. The record is from RNAcentral.